Molecule: ribosomal RNA, 253 nt
Filed under: uncultured bacterium
Lineage: Bacteria
Description: partial 16S ribosomal RNA
Rfam family: Bacterial small subunit ribosomal RNA
Source: RNAcentral
UACGUAGGGUGCAAGCGUUGUCCGGAAUUAUUGGGCGUAAAGAGCUCGUAGGCGGUCUGUGGCGUCGGAUGUGAAAACCCGGGGCUUAACCCCGGGCCUGCAUUCGAUACGGGCAGACUCGAGUGUGGUAGGGGAGACUGGAACUCCUGGUGUAGCGGUGAAAUGCGCAGAUAUCAGGAAGAACACCGGUGGCGAAGGCGGGUCUCUGGGCCACUACUGACGCUGAGGAGCGAAAGCGUGGGGAGCGAACAGG